GGGUUUUUUAAAGGGGCCUCUGGAUGCAAAUCAUUGGGGUUAGAUCUGCUCUCUUCGCAAGAAGAGGGUUUCCAUACACACCGUGAACUGUGGCUUCGGCCAUCACAAACUGUUAGUAAUGAAUGUAAUAUCAUAACAAAAACAAAACUUUUAACAACGGAUCUCUUGGCUCUCGCAUCGAUGAAGAACGCAGCGAAAUGCGAUAAGUAAUGUGAAUUGCAGAAUUCAGUGAAUCAUCGAAUCUUUGAACGCACCUUGCGCCCUUUGGUAUUCCGAAGGGCAUGCCUGUUUGAGUGUCAUGAAACCUCACCCCACUUGGGUUUUUGCCUGAGCGGUGGUGUAUUGGGUGUUGCCUUGCUAAAGGCUCGCCUUAAAGACAUAAGCACCUUGGAUGUAAUACGUUUCAUCCUUCUGGGUGGCUGAUAACCCCACAUAUUCAUGAUCUGGCCUCAAAUCAGGUAGGGCUACCCGCUGAACUUAAGCAUAUCAAUAAGCGGAGGAAAA
Molecule: ribosomal RNA, 504 nt
Filed under: fungal sp. TZ-2015b
Lineage: Eukaryota; Fungi
Description: eukaryotic LSU rRNA
Rfam family: 5.8S ribosomal RNA (bases 146-299)
Source: RNAcentral